GCACUGCUGAGGAGUCCCGCUAUGGGACGAAACGGCCGUCCAGUGC
This 46-nucleotide non-coding RNA is filed under the name Schistosoma mansoni. Lineage: Eukaryota; Metazoa; Platyhelminthes; Trematoda; Strigeidida; Schistosomatidae. The record is from RNAcentral.